Molecule: unclassified non-coding RNA, 2725 nt
Filed under: Melitaea cinxia (Glanville fritillary)
Lineage: Eukaryota; Metazoa; Arthropoda; Insecta; Lepidoptera; Nymphalidae
Description: misc RNA ENSMCXG00005008474.1
Source: RNAcentral
CGAGAAAAAGAUAAUAAUUGCUUCACAAUCAAUCACACAUUUGCAAAUAUUUUGAUUUUAGAGUUUUAUUGUUUAAUUAAUUAUAAUUUUAUUAAUUCAAUAAAACAUACACUUCAGCCUGUACUAGCCAGCCUGUAUACUCACUGCUGGACAUACGCCUCUUUCCCCAUGUAGGAGAACAAUCAGAGCUUAAUCCACCACGCUGCUCCAAUGCGGAUUGGCGGAAUAAAAUAUAUAAACUUUUAAAUAGCAUAGUAAUCGUUUUUAAGGAGUAAACUCCAUUCGCAUGUGGGAGUUGACGCAUUUUUAAAAUUUUCAUAUUUCGUAUUAAAAAUUUGAGUAUGAAAAUUAAUGAAUAUUUCUUCUACUCUAUUUUGAAUAGUAUAUAUUACAUAAACAAACCUAAUUCAUUAAUAAUUCAAUUAUAAUAUAGAUAAUUCGUUUUCAAGAAGGGUAGAGAGAGAACUGUGCCACUGGUCUCUUGUGAGUGCUUCCACUUGUCUCGCCAACUUAAUUCCGACGGCAACUGAAUUAAAUAGUUUCCUAUGGAAACUGGGUUGCCGUAAACAACUUGCUUCGUAUUAUACUCGGUAGAUGGCAACUUGCUUCAUAUACGUGCUAAUAUCAGUUCCUCUCAUAAUGCUCUAUUUCAUAUUUUUCUCAUAUUGCAUAUUGAUUGAAUAUUUCAAAUAAGCCGAUUUGAGUUCCGAGUACUUGUAUCUAUUUCGAACAUAGCAAUAAUGUAUAUUGUUGUCUUGGAGGAUUAGUUUAGGAUUUGGUACACUUUACUAAUAUUAUUGUAAUUUUCAUUUUUUAAUUUAGUAAAAAACAUGUUUUUAAUUGAAGUCUUAUUUGGGGGUCAUUUGAGCUGUUUUUCCAUGAACGGAAUAAGGAAUCACACUUCUUACGCAGCUGAAUAAUAUUAUCAUCAAUCCAAGGUACUUUAGUUUUGUUAGGUUUUCUCUCAUAAUUUAUAUUUAAUGACACAUUUUUUUUCGCUUUUUGAAAGGACUUUUUUAUAAAGUUGUAAAUUUCAUUUUCACAUUUUAUCUGUUUAGUUUUACCCCAGUCAACCUUUGCGACUAGCUCCUUAACAAAAACAUUCUUGUAAGUUGAGGGAGGUCUAUAUACAGCGCUGCAACUACUGCUCUAGCCGGCGACCCCCCGUGGGAGCUCGUGGCGGAGGUCCUUGCCGAGACCUACUCAUACGUUUCCGGUAGGAGGGCUCUCGGUGAGAACCCCACGUUGGACGGGAUCCUACGGGUGCGCCGAAUGGGGCAAGAAGCGCUAAUGUAGCAUCCGUACGGCACACGCGUAACGGCUGCCUUGCACCCGGUUUUUGAGCGGUGGAUGCGCAAGCUCCACUCACCUUACGUCUGACGCAAAUUCUCACCGGGCACGGCUGCUUUGGUGAAUACUUGUGUCGGACGGUCCAGAGGGAGCUGACGACUAGAUGGUAUAAUAAAAAGCUGGACAAUAUUAUCUGUUAUACCAGAUUCUGUAAUUAUAAUAACAUCUAAUGGAAAUUUACAGUUAUGAAUGAGUAGUAACAAUUUAUCAAAAUUUUUAAUAAGUGCCUACUUGGAUGUUUCAUGUCUGUAUCUAAAUAUUAGUAUUUAGAUGCAGACAUGAAACAUCCAAGUAGGUUUUAGGAGGAAGCAGCUUAAAGAAGUCGUUUAAAGAACUACAAUUAAAUAAUUCUUUUAUCUGAUUACCCAUUAUUAAAAAUAAAAAUUAAUAAAUAAAAAAUAAAAUUAAAUUAAUAACAAAGACUUAAUUUAGAAUUUUUGUCUAGACAAUUAAAAUUCGAUUUUAUAAGUUCAUUAAUAUCAUGUAUUGAUCGUAUAUAAUAAAUUUUACUGUUACCUGACUUUCUAAUACAAACUUUACCAUUUUUGUACCAAAUGUAUUGGAAAUAUUUAUUCAAUUGACUUUUAGCAUUAAAAAGUAGAGUCUUCGUCUUUAAUAUUAAAAGUAGUGUCUUCUUAUGUUUAGUGAGGGCUUCUCGUAUGUAAACUCUUUGCAUCGCAUUUUCUUUAGAGACCUUCGGUAACAGUAAUCCUACAGUUGGACAUUUUUCUUUUCACUAUUUAUCCAUUGUUCUUGAGCUUCUUUCGAUUUCAUUUGUAAUAAAAUUAUCCUAGGUUUAAUUUUUGAACCUGGUAGGCGCUGAAUGGACCAAAUAACCUGUUUAUCCAAGUCCGACUUUGACACCAUUUUCCUUUAUUUAAUAUCUUUGAUAGGAAUUUCUGUUAAUCUAUUUAUUUCUAUGCUUGAUGCAGCGCGGCUUCACGUAGAUUCAAAUUUUUAUUUGCAUUUAGUAAAUCUUGGUUUUUGUUUUCUAAAUCUUUUAUAUUAGAGUCUUGGUUUUUGACAGUUUGUUCCAUUAAACUAAUUUGCUCGCUUAAAAAUUCUAGUGAUGUAUCCAAGCUGCGUAAUUCUUCUUAAAAUAUCUUUUUAAUUUCACUAUUGAUGUCUUGAGCUAAUUUAUUGGUGUCAAUAGUUUGUGGGCUUACGAUGAAUUCAGUUUCGGAUUCAUCGUCGUCACCUCCAUUUUCGGGUAUUAAGAAGGAUGAUCGCCGAGAUGUAUUUUUUAAGCAGUCGUCACAACACCAUUCGAUGCCAGCUACGGAUUGCAGUAAGUUGUUUGUUUGUAAGCUUUGAACAUAUAUUAUCCGCAUGAACCACUUUCGAACAUCGGCUACACUCCAUUGCCUUUUCCCCC